RNAcentral lists this long non-coding RNA (200 nucleotides) under Homo sapiens (human). RNAcentral's name for it is "HSALNT0266923". Lineage: Eukaryota; Metazoa; Chordata; Mammalia; Primates; Hominidae. The record is from RNAcentral.
UUUCCGAGAGCCCCCAUAGGCUGCCCACCCUGCCCUGGGGUCUGGGGCCCAAGAAGGGGCAUAUUUUGCUCACUAGCUUGGGAUAAGGAUUGGGAUCAAGGCGGGGCCAAUGAUGACAUUCCGGAAGCCCUUCACAGCCUUCAGCUUGUCGCUCUCGAAGUUCACCACCAGCUUGUGGAGGCCCAUGUGGAGCGGCAGCA